AAAUCUACAACGACUUGAGGUCACAGUUAUAAACUGAACAUAUAAACUCUUUUUUUUUAUCAGUUAAUGAAAACAUGUUAGAAUAUGGAGAUGAGCCAUUACGUCAAGAUUCACUUCGGUCUUACAGGUAAUUAACAGCAUAUUGUUUGAAUUAUAUUUUUUUUAUGUAUUUUUUUCACAAAAAGGGGAAAAAUCUUUUGAUUUAAAAUGUAAUAAGCAACAGCCCUUUGAAUCAUUUAAAUACAUUUGGUUAUAUUUUGUGCAGGUUUGAGGAUGAUGAGAUGGAAAGACAGGAAAAUCCUAUUUAUGGAAAUAUCUGUUUAGAUGGAGGAGGUAGGUAUAGCUCAUAAAUACAGUAAUCCAGUGUAUGCCUACUAUUUACUGCUAAUAAUUAUGCUGUUAUGAUGACAUUGUUAUGUAUUUAACGCUUGUUUAUUCUGUGCAGGGCAUUUUGAAAUGUCUCCGGAGGUGUGCUAUGAACAAAUGUCCCAUGCAAGCACAGCAAAGCAGGGAUUAAAGGUUCAGCAGGGGGACGUGUCCUAUGCCUCUCUGGAUCUGACUGCCAAUAAAAAGCGUAGGAAGAAGAGAAAAUACCACAAGCAGGCUCAAACUCACCAGGCCCAGACACAUCCUCAACCCACAUCCCAGCAGAACGGCAUGGACCAGGAUGACGAGGCUGAUGUCACCCUCCCGUCCCGGAGCAGCAGCCUCAUGGUUUCACGUCACAGUAUCUACCUCAACAGUCAUCAAGUAGCCCUGGAGGCAGAAGAGAGGGAGAGGGACAGAGAGAGGGAGAGGGAGAGAGUAAGAGAGAAGGAAAUAGAAAGAGAGAGAGAUGAUAAUGCAGAGAUAGAGUUUGAGAUGCACAGAAAUGUGCAUGAAGACUUUGAUCACUCCCUCAGUAGAUCAAGACAAAGUCUAGAACAGGACAGUUAACAGUUUUAGAGUUAAAAAAAAACUUUAGCGUCUUAAAAGUUGAAACACAGGAUACUGUGGGGUGGUGCUGUCAGCAGCUGUGAUAUUUAAAGCUCAUCGUUAAAGUACAUAAGUCACACCCCAAGUCAUAAUUUCUGUCUGUUCAAAAGCAUGCAGAGGAGACCAGCUAUUUGUUCUGAGGUUGUGUCCAAUCGAGACACAUCUAAAUCAGUUUAUCACUUUAAAUGUGCUUUCUUAUUUCCUGCAUUUGAAGGUUGGUCUGUUUGUUGUUGUACUUACAGUAAGAAGAAUAUGUUAACAAAUAUUUAUCUGAUUGUUUUUUAUGAUAAUUUUCAGGAUCACAUAAAUGUAUAUUUGUGCAAAUAAGGUUGACUGAUGACUCAAGUCAUUUGAUGUACCUAUGCACAGGAAAAUAAGGACUGUUUUAUAGCUAUUACUCAGAGUUGGAAUAUUUCUGUGGCUUUGUCCUGAUAUUAAAGGUAUUGGUG
This 1424-nucleotide long non-coding RNA is filed under the name Sinocyclocheilus grahami. Its description in RNAcentral is "lncRNA (ENSSGRG00000043942.1)". The record is from RNAcentral. Lineage: Eukaryota; Metazoa; Chordata; Actinopteri; Cypriniformes; Cyprinidae.